RNAcentral lists this unclassified non-coding RNA (3017 nucleotides) under Limulus polyphemus (Atlantic horseshoe crab). RNAcentral's name for it is "two pore calcium channel protein 1-like, transcript variant X1". Lineage: Eukaryota; Metazoa; Arthropoda; Merostomata; Xiphosura; Limulidae. The record is from RNAcentral.
UGUUACGAGAGAGUACAAUUUUCAAAUAUGGCAGAAUGUGAUGUUAGAAGUGACGAAGACUUGAGUGCAAACUUAACUAAUAGCUCUAAAUUGCCAAAAAAUGUUUUUAAUAACGAAGAAGUCCAGACAGAAGGUUUCCAUAGACAAGAAUCAGAUUUAGGAAUACCCCAACCUCGAACAUUUUCAGGUUAUUCGAUUGCAUCACUGUUGGAAAUCCCAAACCGGCUAAGUAACUGCCUUAAUGAUGGUAUGUCAUCAGACUACACAGAGCUUCAAACACCGAUAGAAGAAAGUGAUCCUGGAGAUCUGGUGAAGGCAUGGGAUAUGAACUACCAUGAGGCCGCUAUAUAUCUUGAGGAAGGAGAAAACAAUGAUAAAUUUGAUUACCACCCUCGAAGUAAAGAUGCUCUACCUGCAUAUUUGUUAGUACACAACAUCUGGUUUUAUAGCUUGGAUCUAAUAGCUGCUGUGAUGCUGAUGGGACUUGCUUUAGUGGAGAAACCAGCUGUUCCAGGCUUUCAUCUAGACCCUGGGAUCCACGCCUCCCUGGAAUUGCUGGGCCUGUUUGUUGUUGGCAUUGAACUCGUAAUGAAACUUCGUUGGAUGGGAAUUAAUCCAUUUUUUAAGCAUAAACGUUCUCUCAUAAAACUUGUUGCUCUAGUACUGAUGGUCAUAGAAAGUGUGGUAGUUAUUGCUCGACAGACAAAUCACUUUCGUAUUAGUCGUGCACUUCGCCCUGUGUAUUUAAUUGACAAUUAUCACUGUGGAGGGAUUCGAAGAGUAACCAGACAGAUUCUACAGUCUCUUCCCCCUAUUUUAGAAAUGUUAGGACUGCUUCUAUUCUUUAUGUUGAUCUUCUCAGUUUUAGGAUUUUAUUUAUUUACUUCAAAUCCAAAGGAUCCAUAUUUUUCAACAUUACAAGGAAGUUUUGUCAGCCUUUUUGUUUUACUCACUACAGCCAAUUAUCCUGAUGUCAUGAUGCCUGCUUAUGCCGCUUCCCGUUGGUCAGCUAUAUUUUUCAUUGUAUUUCUCAUCAUUCAUCUGUACUUCAUAAUGAACAUGAUGCUAGCUGUCGUGUAUGAAACUUUCACUCGAAUUGAAAAAGACAAGUUCAGAAAACUGUUAUUGCACAGAAGAAAAGCUUGUCAACAUGCUUUCCGGUUGCUGGUUAAUCGAGCUCAUCCUACACAAAUUUCUUUCCGACACUUUCAAGGUCUUAUGCACCAUUUCAAGCCCAAAGUCUGUAAGAGAGAUGUCUACUUAAUGUUUAAAACACUGGAUACAAGCAGAACUAGAUAUCUGACACUCGAUGAAUUUUAUCACAUUUAUGAAGUUGGAGCUCUCAGUUGGAAGGCUCAAAAAGCAGAAGAUUUAUGGUUUAGUGAAUUUCACAGUCCAUUUUUGGAGAUUUGUUCCUCAAUCCAAAAGCUUGUUAUUUCCAGAUGGUUCAACUACUUCAUAGUUUUAGUGAUUAUAGCCAAUGGCAUCUGGCAAGUUGUAGAAGCAUCAGAAAUAUCAGGUGUGGGUGAAGGAAAACUUGAUACAUAUGUAGUGACUCAUCACAUCAAGAGUUAUGGAAUAGCUGGAACUUGGGUUUCAGUUGGAUUUAUUGUUGCUUACUCAGUAGAAGCUCUAUUGAAGAUUGUUGGUCUGGGUCUGUUUGGAUACUUCCAAUCAGGCUGGAACAUAUAUGAUUUUACUGUCACAGUUUUGGGUCUUGCUGGAGUAAUUGCAGAACACUUUAAUGUUCCUUUCUCUUUUGUUAUAAUUUUACGUCCACUUCGUUUAUUAAGGUUAUUUAAAAUGAAUCGUCGAUAUCGUGAUGUACUUGGUACUGUUUUUAUUGUGCUACCUCGGUUUGGUAGUGUCGCCUUAGUCUUGCUGAUUGUGUACUACUUCUUUGCCAUCAUUGGAAUGGAGCUGUUUUCUGACUUUAAUAUGAUAAACUGUUGCAAGAACACUACAGUGGAACAGUUUUAUCAUUUUGAUAACAGCUCAUUGGCUGAAGGUUACUAUUAUUUAAACAACUUUGAAAAUAUCAUCAACAGCUGUAUUACCCUCUUUGAGUUGAUGGUGGUCAACAAUUGGUUUAUCAUCAUGGAUGGUUAUGCUGCUGUAGCAACAGAGUGGAGUCGGAUUUUUUUCAUGCUUUUCUAUGUGGUUACAAUGGUGGUUAUAAAUAUCAUCAUAGCUUUCAUUCUUGAGGCCUUCUUGUUUAGAAUUCAGUAUAAACGAAAGAUGGGGGAUAUGGACAAGGACAGCUUGGUUCGAGUAGAUGUGGCAUUGACUCGUCAAGAACUAGACUUCUGUUACACUCAUUCUAAUCUUUCAAUCUCACAACUUCUUCACUAUACACACAACCUUACAGAACAAUAUAUACUCUACAGAGGAACUCGUACUCGCACCAAGUUCUCAUUUAGCCUCAAAAUGUAUGCUGAAGAAGUGAAGUGUUGGCUCCAACAAGCUGAAGAAAAAGAAAGACAGCAGAGAGAAGAGUUACUUGCUAAGGUACAGGAACUGUCUAUUUCACAACAACCCACAAUUCAACAAGAACGAACACGGCGAACUUUUAGUGUGUAGACAUUAAUCCUAUUAAUGAGAAGACAAAAAUUAAAACCAGUCUUCCUGUAUAAUUAUCCUCAGAUACUCAACACAGUUAUUAUCAAAAGUGGUGCGUUUACCAAUCAACAUAGCACUUGCACUAAAGUAUUUUUUAUUAGUCACAACAAAGUGGGAGUUUAGAAGUCUUUACAUACAUAUAUUCAGAUCAUUGGACAUUUUUUAAAAGAUCUUGUUUGAAAUUAACUUUGUUACAGGGUUGGCCUUUUUGGAAAUUUUACUUGAUAAUUGCAAGACGUCUAUUAUUGAAAGUCUCAUGUGAAAAGUUUUGGAAAAGUUCUUCUAAAAAAUUAUCUAAAGUCACAAGAAUGUCAGGAAUUUAAUCUGCAGGUUUCAUAUAAUUUUAAGUCCUUCCUUACAAAUCUUAACUCUUUCAGCCCUGGCUUGUUAUAGUUUUC